UUACACAAAUUGUUUUGUUUGUGUUGAUUUAAAAGCCAAAUAAUGUGGUGGGUCCACCAGACCCGGGAACAUUGUCUGUGUAACAAAAAUAUGAACACUACACAAUUGGCAAAGUGUUAAAAGUAAA
Long non-coding RNA from Etheostoma cragini (Arkansas darter), 127 nucleotides. RefSeq lists it as uncharacterized. The transcript is spliced from 3 exons. The record is from RefSeq and is a predicted model, not a curated record. Lineage: Eukaryota; Metazoa; Chordata; Actinopteri; Perciformes; Percidae.